UACGGAGGGUGCGAGCGUUGUCCGGAAUCACUGGGCGUAAAGGGCGCGUAGGUGGCGCGAGGAGUCUGUGGUGAAAGCCCGAGGCUCAACUUCGGGUCGGCCGCGGAUACUCUCGUGCUGGAGGGUGGUAGAGGCCAAUGGAAUUCCGGGUGUAGCGGUGGAAUGCGUAGAGAUCCGGAAGAACACCGGGUGGCGAAGGCGGUUGGCUGGGCCGACACCCUGGACACUGAGGCGCGACAGCGUGGGGAG
Molecule: ribosomal RNA, 249 nt
Filed under: uncultured bacterium
Lineage: Bacteria
Description: partial 16S ribosomal RNA
Rfam family: Bacterial small subunit ribosomal RNA
Source: RNAcentral